AGGGGGCGAAGGCCUGAUCCAGCAAUGCCGCGUGCAGGAUGAAGGCCCUCGGGUUGUAAACUGCUUUUGUACGGAACGAAAAGCCUGGGGCUAAUAUCCCCGGGUCAUGACGGUACCGUAAGAAUAAGCACCGGCUAACUACGUGCCAGCAGCCGCGGUAAUACGUAGGGUGCAAGCGUUAAUCGGAAUUACUGGGCGUAAAGCGUGCGCAGGCGGUUUUGUAAGACAGUGGUGAAAUCCCCGGGCUCAACCUGGGAACUGCCAUUGUGACUGCAAGGCUAGAGUGCGGCAGAGGGGGAUGGAAUUCCGCGUGUAGCAGUGAAAUGCGUAGAUAUGCGGAGGAACACCGAUGGCGAAGGCAAUCCCCUGGGCCUGCACUGACGCUCAUGCACGAAAGCGUGGGGAGCAAACAGGAUUAGAUACCCUGGUAGUCCACGCCCUAAACGAUGUCAACUGGUUGUUGGGUCUUAACUGACUCAGUAACGAAGCUAACGCGUGAAGUUGACCGCCUGGGGAGUACGGCCGCAAGGUUGAAACUCAAG
Molecule: ribosomal RNA, 542 nt
Filed under: uncultured bacterium
Lineage: Bacteria
Description: bacterial SSU rRNA
Rfam family: Bacterial small subunit ribosomal RNA
Source: RNAcentral